AAAAUAUAUUCCAAUUAUUACACUAAUUUUGCUCAAGACUUCAGCGACUACCCCACCCGUCCCUAUCUGUGGGUAAAGCUGCAAUUCUGUUAGGAUUUACCCCGUCUAAAACAUCUAGGAUACCAACAUAAGAAUGACUUAAGAUACAUCCAAACAGUCAAGGGUAAUGCAGAUAAUCCCCUAGAGGCAAUCAGUUAUCUACUUUGAGCAGUGGGUUUUUGAAGAUGGUUUUUGUUAGUUUCCUUCCCUUUUUACUGGCAAAACUAAUGAGUACAGAGUGAAUUUCCAGUUAGUUUGUUACUUUGCUCCUUUUGCUCUGGGUGCCAAUUACUCCCCAUUGCUGGAACACUACGAGAGCAGAUCAAAGCAUUUGACCACUUGGUACUUCCAUAUCAAUUCAGUUACAAGUUAGAGAAGCUCCCACAAAAUGACAAUUUUGGGUUCCCAUUAACAAAAAUAUCUGCAAACCUAAAAAACCACUGAUGCUUGCAUCAGCAAAUCACACUAGCACAAUACUGAACUAUGUCUUAUGCUGCUUUGGCUGUGUCACGAACAAGGGCAAGCUUAGCCAAAAGGCCACAUAGCUGAAGGUAGGAACCAACCCCAUCACAAAUUCUCAUAUGGGCAAAUCCAGUUUCCUUCAUGAACUCCAAUUUCAAAUAUUCAGCCAUGUCAUAAUUCUUUAUGACACGAAAAAGGGUUGUAAUUAUGUCUGUGGGAGAAUACCCCAAAUCAUAGAGCUGCUUCAGACCAGAACAAGCAUCAUCAAAUUUUCCCUCAAGCACAUGGCGCACCAUAUUCUUCACAUGCAAUGGAUGAGGCUGAUCACAAACCUUGAAAACAUUUUCCUGGUUGACAAAUCGGAAUCCACUGUAUGUAGCUUGCAAGUUAUUCAAUGCCUGCCUCAUAUCACCAUCAGCAGUGAAUAUGAUAGCUUCGAGGCCUUCAGGAACAUAUGGGACCUUCAAUGAAUAAAAAGUCAAUAAACUGCUCCAUAUCUUAUAAACACAAUAUAUCAAGAUUCAAGGGUGCUGUAGAGUUAUAAUCUCAAGGAUAAAACUACAUAAGCUUCUAUGAACCAUGCCAAAGUACUUUCCAGUUUGAAUAGUAAGAGAGUUGAUGUGCUAGUAAGCUUUAACCUCCAAAUGUAAGCUUUAUACAACCUUGUUAUCUCCCACUUGAUGUGAUUUAAACCAACAUACCUAGCUCAACAGUAGUUUGUCAAACAUGAUCAGGCAGGCGUCACUUCUUAACCAGCUCACCACCAUACUUCAGUGCUGAUGCUGAAGUGAUGUUACCUAUCAGAUUACCAAUCUGAAUGGGUGAUUUACCCAUUAAAAUUAGCAAGGUAUUUGGCAUCUGCCACCUACCCAAUUUCCAGUUCUUUCUGUAUCCCUGUGACAGCUUUAACAACCUUCACAAAUCAAGGUCUUAUCUUCAUUUUCUGCCUAAUAGCCACUAAUUGAUAUGUCUCCUCUCAAGAAUGCCACUCUACUUUCUGCUCUACUAAAUUAAAGCAAUAGAUGAUAAAAGCCCAAGGCUCCACUUCUCUAAAUUUGUGAUGAUACCAUUCUGUUAUUCCAAGUUAGAAAUCUUCCAAAAUAAUAUUACUAAAGGAAUGUAUAACUUAAAUUAAACAAAAUAUUAUGGUGAAAAAGAGGGACUGCAAUGAACUUUCAACUAGAGCAAAUGAAAUAGGUCCAAUAAGAAAACAAGAAAUGGUGAAUAAAUCUUAUGGAUAUUCUCAAUCAUAACAAACAGGUUAAAUUUGGCCCCAAUCAAAAACAUAAAUCAAGGAAAUGUUGCAAAUAUAAAACUUUGAACAGUGCGAAAUGAAUGUGCUAUGCUGUAGAACCAUAAAGUAUCACCUUUUCUGCUUCAACUACUACCAUGAGACGACCAAGUAUCUCUUGAUCAGAUAAUCUUGAAAAUCGAACAAGCGCACAUCUACUCUGAAUAGGCUCAAUAAUUUUAGAGGACGUAUUGCAUGCAAGAGCAAAACGGGUGGAAUUUGAAUAUAUUUCCAUUGUUCGCCUCAAGGCUUGCUGCGCUCCAGAUGUCAUGCUAUCAGCUUCAUCCAGAAUUACAAUUUUGUGUCGUCCGGGUGGCAGUGUCACUUUCUUUUGAGCAAACAUCUUGAUUUUGUUCCUCACAACAUCAAUACCCCUGUCAUCUGAAGCAUUCAACUCCAAAACAGCCUCCUUACAAUUCGGUCCUAAAAGCUCGUGUGCAAGAGCCAGUAUACUUGUAGUUUUGCCAGUUCCAGGGGGCCCCUGAAACAUACAAAGCAAAGUGCUCAUAAACAGCUUAACACCAUGCAACAGAGAGCACAUAAACUAGAAACCUUUAUGUAAACUUUUCACGUGGAAAUUAGAAAGAAAUGCCGCCUUUUAAACGAAUUUUUCAUUCAUAUUUAGCUUUUAACUCGGGGAAGAAAAUACAUAGAAAAAUAACACAUGGCAAUUUCCUCAUUUUCUACCCUAUACAUAAAUUAGGGUUUAACAAUUUCAUUAAUCAAUAUAAUUUCUCUCAAAUCUACUAAAAGAAUAGUUUAAAUUAGCACAAGAAACAUAUCAUUAGCCAUGCAAAAAAUUAUAAUCAGUAAUUAAGAUCUAAACCUACGAAGCAUGAAACGUACGGCUAGGAUGAGGUUAGGCAUGUUGCCGUCACGAGCGAUGACUUGGAGGCGGGAGACAGCGUCCUCGUUGCCGACGAUGUCAGCGACUUUGUUGGGCCGGUACUUCUCCACCCAUGGAAUGUCGUAGCUGUGACUGCUAUUAUUAGCCGAUGAAGACGACGAUGCCAUUGCGGUCACUGUUGAGGAGAGGUCGAGGUCGAAAGCAGUGAAAACAGACAGAGAGCGCGCGAUUCUUUGUGCAGAAACCCUCUCUCGCGGGACCACUAAAACUAUCCCCAAAGCCCUUCAAUUUGGAGGGAAAUUGCA
Molecule: unclassified non-coding RNA, 2944 nt
Filed under: Hevea brasiliensis (rubber tree)
Lineage: Eukaryota; Viridiplantae; Streptophyta; Magnoliopsida; Malpighiales; Euphorbiaceae
Source: RNAcentral